RNAcentral lists this ribosomal RNA (1499 nucleotides) under uncultured bacterium. RNAcentral describes it as "partial 16S ribosomal RNA". It matches the Rfam family "Bacterial small subunit ribosomal RNA". The record is from RNAcentral.
AGGGUUUGAUCCUGGCUCAGAUUGAACGCUGGCGGAAUGCUUUACACAUGCAAGUCGAACGGCAGCACGAGAGCUUGCUCUUGGUGGCGAGUGGCGAACGGGUGAGUAAUAUAUCGGAACGUAUCCAAUAAUGGGGGAUAACUAAUCGAAAGGUUAGCUAAUACCGCAUACGCCCUGAGGGGGAAAGCGGGGGAUCGAAAGACCUCGCGCGAUUAGAGCGGCCGAUGCCUGAUUAGCUUGUUGGUGGGGUAAAAGCCCACCAAGGCGACGAUCAGUAGCUGGUCUGAGAGGACGAUCAGCCACACUGGGACUGAGACACGGCCCAGACUCCUACGGGAGGCAGCAGUGGGGAAUUUUGGACAAUGGGGGCAACCCUGAUCCAGCAAUGCCGCGUGAGUGAAGAAGGCCUUCGGGUUGUAAAGCUCUUUUGUCAGGGAAGAAACACCGGCUCUAACACAGUCCGGGAAUGACGGUACCUGAAGAAUAAGCACCGGCUAACUACGUGCCAGCAGCCGCGGUAAUACGUAGGGUGCGAGCGUUAAUCGGAAUUACUGGGCGUAAAGCGUGCGCAGGCGGUUAUACAAGACAGGCGUGAAAUCCCCGGGCUUAACCUGGGAAUGGCGCCUGUGACUGUAUAGCUAGAGUGUGUCAGAGGGGGGUAGAAUUCCACGUGUAGCAGUGAAAUGCGUAGAUAUGUGGAGGAAUACCAAUGGCGAAGGCAGCCCCCUGGACCUGUACUGACGCUCAUGCACGAAAGCGUGGGGAGCAAACAGGAUUAGAUACCCUGGUAGUCCACGCCGUAAACGGUGGGCACUAGUUGUGGGAACCUUCCACGGUUUCUGCGACGCAGCUAACGCAUUAAGUGCCCCGCCUGGGGAGUACGAUCGCAAGAUUAAAACUCAAAGGAAUUGACGGGGCCCCGCACAAGCAGCGGAGCAUGCGGCUUAAUUCGACGCAACGCGAAGAACCUUACCAAGGCUUGACAUAUACAGGAAUAUGGCAGAAAUGUCAUAGCCGCAAGGUCUGUAUACAGGUGGUGCAUGGUUGUCGUCAGCUCGUGUCGUGAGAUGUUGGGUUAAGUCCCGCAACGAGCGCAACCCUCGUUCUGUGUUGCCAGCAUUUAGUUGGGGACUCACAGGAGACUGCCGGGGUUAACUCGGAGGAAGGUGGGGAUGACGUCAAAUCAUCAUGCCCCUUAUGUCUUGGGCUGCACGCAUGCUACAAUGGCUGGUACAAACGGCUGCGAUACCGCAAGGUGGAGCGAAUCCGAUAAAGCCAGUCUCAGUUCGGAUUGGGGUCUGCAACUCGACCCCAUGAAGUCGGAGUUGCUAGUAAUCGUAGAUCAGCAACGCUACGGUGAAUACGUUCCCGGGGCUUGUACACACCGCCCGUCACGUCACGAAAGUCGGUAACACCCGAAGUCAGUGGCCCAACCGUAAGGGGGGAGCUGCCGAAGGUGGGAUCGGUGAUUGGGACGAAGUCGUAACAAGGUAACCGUA